AUUGUCCAGGGUGUGUUCCGAUUGCGUGAUGGACCGCAGAGGCGCACGUUGGCACGCGUUUUCGUUGCAGCAUCUCUCAGAUCAGAAUCCCAUGCUCUGAAAUUCGUCAAAUUAUAUAAUAUGGCUUGUUUCGUGUGCUGCAAACGUUGAGAAUUGGGGUAAUUGGUGGUUUGUGUAGCUGGGAUCUAUCCAAGCUCUACCUGACAACUUCCCAACAUCUUUACCGUCUUCUUUUCUUCUUGAGUGCCACUCCUCGAGGAUUCAAAGUUUAGGGUAUAUUCGAAUAUAACUACAACAUCGUAAAAAUUAAAUAGUCCGAGCGAUGGAGCGAGAGAUCAAGAUUUUCCUCUUGCUACUCGAGGUCUUCCUACGGGAAAAGUGGAAAAAGAAAACUUAAAUAAGUCUUCUUCUAGCAGGAUCAGUCGCAUCCGAUGCCUCCUUGGAAUUAACAAAGAGCACAGAAGCAGCAGAUUCUACGUUCGAUCAGUGAUGUGAAGAGAUCAAAUCUAGCCACCUUUUUGCGCUCCUUUUUACCCACAGGAAUCGCAAGAAAUGGUUCUGUUAGAGUCUUCGACAUGAAAACAAAUUUUUCUAAUGUCUUUGAAUAAAGUAUCCCAGGUAUCCUCAAUGCCCAAGGACUCGGAUAUCCUUGAAGCAUAUAUGAACGACUCAGUCUGGGCGGUGCAGCAACGUCCAUUGGUAUUCCGGUGUGGUAUUCGGUAUUUUAUCUUCUUGGUUGAUCGCAAGUAGCAAAAUGUCAUCUCAAAAUUCAGAUAGAUCCAUGUGAGUACGAUUUAGUUGCCGUUCGUCCUAUCUCGAUGAUGAAGAGGAACCAUGGGGAAGAGAAGUUAUGGAUAGUUACGCAGUUAUCAUGGACCUUCCGUUUGUGCUGCGCCCGUUUUAGACAGAAGUGAAGCGCCCUUCCUCAUUUAGAAGAGGAUAAUCAGAGAUGAUGGAGUGGGAGAGCAUGAUGUGGAAGCCUUGGCCUCGGAUGUGCUUCGAUGAGAUUGCUCCCAUGUCACAGACUCGCUGUCAACUGGCUACAACUGCGUCGACCUCGGACGGUUCUCUCAUCGGAAUACUUGGACCCUGCGACGAAAUCUUCUAAUUGCUACUUUAGGAGGAAACUAGCAACCAUUGAUGAGCGAUCGUGUCUCGCACACUCAUGUGUGGCGCGCAUACCUACGCAUGUACACGAACAGCUGCAGGUGGAGUCCAGACGACCACGUUCUCCUUAGAGGAAUAAAAGGUGUUAUUUAAGUUGCUGAUCCGCUGAUGUUAAGGCCGAGGACGUCCCCCAGACAGGGCAAAGGAAAGGACAGUACUAAAACCCAUCAGGCAUUGAACGUGAUUAGUACCCUCUCGAAGCUGGUGACUGUGAUCUUAUCGCUGCUGCCGUGUGGCAUGCACUGGCAACAUCGGUCCUCUUGCAGGCAACACACAUUCAAUAAUUCCAGCACUUCUAUGCAAAGUGUGAACUGUGACCGAGGCUCAUCUCUCUGGUUUCUUCCUUUUCCUUUACUUGUACGUUAGCGCCUGUUGACGUGACAUCUGUAACCCGAUCUCAACAAAUUAAGCUGACAGGAUAUGCUCAGAGCACAUUCUUCAA
Non-coding RNA from Physcomitrium patens, 1609 nucleotides. The record is from RefSeq and is a predicted model, not a curated record. NCBI's taxonomy places the organism in Eukaryota, Viridiplantae, Streptophyta, Bryopsida, Funariales, Funariaceae.